AUUAAUGCCAAAGCCCUGUUGCCUGGGGAGAGGGUGAUGUUUGACUUUCUUGUACAGCUGCAGUUUGUGGGGUGAAGGUGCUCCCACAAUGUGGUUGGAUUCCACCAUUUGCCAAUAUGCGAUUUGAACAAGGACUUCAGUUGUACAUUUUAAUAUUCUGGAUAAAAGUUAAAUACAUUAGGAUACUACAGGUGGACAUUCAGAUGGUAAUCUCAGUCAUUGUAACACCAAACUUUGAUUGAAUUAGUCAGUUCA
Molecule: long non-coding RNA, 255 nt
Organism: Hemiscyllium ocellatum (epaulette shark)
Lineage: Eukaryota; Metazoa; Chordata; Chondrichthyes; Orectolobiformes; Hemiscylliidae
Exons: 3
Source: RefSeq, a predicted model, not a curated record